This 161-nucleotide RNase P RNA is filed under the name Hungatella sp. Its description in RNAcentral is "partial RNase P RNA component class A". It matches the Rfam family "Bacterial RNase P class A", at positions 1 to 165 of the family's 367-position model. From Rfam's summary of the family: Ribonuclease P (RNase P) is a ubiquitous endoribonuclease, found in archaea, bacteria and eukarya as well as chloroplasts and mitochondria. Its best characterised activity is the generation of mature 5'-ends of tRNAs by cleaving the 5'-leader elements of precursor-tRNAs. Cellular RNase Ps are ribonucleoproteins. Lineage: Bacteria; Bacillati; Bacillota; Clostridia; Lachnospirales; Lachnospiraceae. The record is from RNAcentral.
UGAGUAAGACAAAUGGCCGCAGCUGCAAAGCCGAAAGGCUGCAGGUGAGGAAAGUCCGGGCUUCACAGGGCAGGAUGCCAGAUAACGUCUGGCGGAGGCGACUCCAGGGAAAGUGCAACAGAAAUAUACCGCCGCUUAAUGCGGUAAGGGUGGAAAGGUGG